AGUGAACGCUGGCGGUAGGCCUAACACAUGCAAGUCGAACGGCAGCACAGUAAGAGCUUGCUCUUACGGGUGGCGAGUGGCGGACGGGUGAGGAAUACAUCGGAAUCUACUUUUUCGUGGGGGAUAACGUAGGGAAACUUACGCUAAUACCGCAUACGACCUACGGGUGAAAGCAGGGGAUCUUCGGACCUUGCGCGAUUGAAUGAGCCGAUGUCGGAUUAGCUAGUUGGCGGGGUAAAGGCCCACCAAGGCGACGAUCCGUAGCUGGUCUGAGAGGAUGAUCAGCCACACUGGAACUGAGACACGGUCCAGACUCCUACGGGAGGCAGCAGUGGGGAAUAUGGACAAUGGGCGCAAGCCUGAUCCAGCCAUACCGCGUGGGUGAAGAAGGCCUUCGGGUUGUAAAGCCCCUUUGUUGGGAAAGAAAAGCAGCAGGUUAAUACCCCGCUGUUCUGACGGUACCCAAAGAAUAAGCACCGGCUAACUUCGUG
Molecule: ribosomal RNA, 491 nt
Filed under: uncultured bacterium
Lineage: Bacteria
Description: partial 16S ribosomal RNA
Rfam family: Bacterial small subunit ribosomal RNA
Source: RNAcentral